This 253-nucleotide ribosomal RNA is filed under the name uncultured bacterium. RNAcentral describes it as "partial 16S ribosomal RNA". It matches the Rfam family "Bacterial small subunit ribosomal RNA", at positions 524 to 776 of the family's 1533-position model. The record is from RNAcentral.
UACGAAGGGGGCUAGCGUUGUUCGGAUUUACUGGGCGUAAAGCGCACGUAGGCGGAUCGAUCAGUCAGGGGUGAAAUCCCAGAGCUCAACUCUGGAACUGCCUUUGAUACUGUCGAUCUGGAGUAUGGAAGAGGUGAGUGGAAUUCCGAGUGUAGAGGUGAAAUUCGUAGAUAUUCGGAGGAACACCAGUGGCGAAGGCGGCUCACUGGUCCAUUCCUGACGCUGAGACGCGAAAGCUAGGGGAGCGAACAGG